Molecule: transfer RNA, 71 nt
Organism: Loxodonta africana (African savanna elephant)
Lineage: Eukaryota; Metazoa; Chordata; Mammalia; Proboscidea; Elephantidae
Rfam family: tRNA
About the family: Transfer RNA (tRNA) molecules are approximately 80 nucleotides in length. Their secondary structure includes four short double-helical elements and three loops (D, anti-codon, and T loops). Further hydrogen bonds mediate the characteristic L-shaped molecular structure. tRNAs have two regions of fundamental functional importance: the anti-codon, which is responsible for specific mRNA codon recognition, and the 3' end, to which the tRNAs corresponding amino acid is attached (by aminoacyl-tRNA synthetases). tRNAs cope with the degeneracy of the genetic code in two manners: having more than one tRNA (with a specific anti-codon) for a particular amino acid; and 'wobble' base-pairing, i.e. permitting non-standard base-pairing at the 3rd anti-codon position.
Source: Rfam
GGAUUGGUGGCUCAGGGGUAGAAUUCUUGUCUUCCAUGCAGGAGACCUGGGUUCAAUUCCUGGCCAAUGCA